UGCAGUUAAAAAGCUCGUAGUUGGAUUUCGGAGUGGGCCAGUUGGUCCGCCGCAAGGUGUGUUACUGACUGGUUUGCUCUUCUUCGCAAAGACUGCGUGUGCUCUUCAGUGAGUGUGCGUAGGAUUUACGACGUUUACUUUGAAAAAAUUAGAGUGUUCAAAGCAGGCUAUUGCUUGAAUACAUGAGCAUGGAAUAAUGGAAUAGGACUUUGGUCCCAUUUUGUUGGUUUCUAGGGCCGAAGUAAUGAUUAAGAGGGACAAUUGGGGGCAUCCGUAUUUCGUUGUCAGAGGUGAAAUUCUUGGAUUUACGAAAGACGAACAACUGCGAAAGCACUUGCCAAGAGUGUUUUCAUUAAUCAAGAACGAAAGUUAGAGGAUCGAAGACGAUCAGAUACCGUCCUAGUUCUAACCAUAAACGAUGUCGACUAGGGAUCAGCGGGCGUUAUCGUACGACCCCGUUGGCACCUUACGGGAAACCAGAGUUUCUGGAUUCCGGGGGAAGUAUGGUUGCAAAGCUGAAACUUAAAGGAAUUGACGGAAGGGCACCACCAGGAGUGGAGCCUGUGGCUCAAUUUGACUCAACACGGGAAAACUUACCAGGUCCAGACAUAGUGAGGAUUGACCGGGUUGAGAGCCCUUUC
This 641-nucleotide ribosomal RNA is filed under the name uncultured eukaryote. RNAcentral describes it as "SSU rRNA". It matches the Rfam family "Eukaryotic small subunit ribosomal RNA", at positions 614 to 1261 of the family's 1831-position model. The record is from RNAcentral.